Molecule: non-coding RNA, 87 nt
Filed under: Actinacidiphila glaucinigra
Lineage: Bacteria; Bacillati; Actinomycetota; Actinomycetes; Kitasatosporales; Streptomycetaceae
Description: Streptomyces glauciniger ZTP sequence
Rfam family: ZMP/ZTP riboswitch aptamer (pfl RNA motif)
About the family: Previously known as pfl RNA. ZMP is also known as AICAR.
Source: Rfam by way of RNAcentral
GCCACGGGUCGUGACUGGCGCGCUGGGAUGGGAUUGACCAUCGGGGAGCGGCCCGUGAACUGUGUGCCGUGCGCCUGGGCCGUCCCG